This 698-nucleotide long non-coding RNA is filed under the name Equus caballus (horse). Its description in RNAcentral is "lncRNA (ENSECAG00000033067.3)". Lineage: Eukaryota; Metazoa; Chordata; Mammalia; Perissodactyla; Equidae. The record is from RNAcentral.
CUGGAUCCUAAGAGGGAAGGGAAACCAGGGCUAGUAAGUAAACAUGUCUGGAUCCGAUUCACGUUGUAAGAUCGCCCCCUAGCGGCCACGUGGAGAACGAGCCAGGAGGUGGGGCCUGUCCACCCUCAAGUUUACCCUCCGACCCUCACAGCCAGGCAGAUCUGUCAGACGACCCGCCUCCUGUCUUCCCGUGUCAGUGUCCCUUCUGCCUCCGGGAGCGCCUCCUGCGUGGACGGCGUCCUCCGCUCUUUCGUGGGUGUGUUCACAUGGUUCCCAUGAGCCCUACAGGGCAGGAGCUGCUUCUAUUCCCGCCUCCCAGAGACAGAGGCGUUGCGAGAGACACGCUGAAGAAUACCGCGGACGUCUGGCUGUCUGCCCUGAGCGCGGCCCUUUAGUGGGUCAGCCCUUGGACACCACGCCGCAAGAGAGCCAGCGCGAAGCCUUCAGCCAAGAGAAUGCAACCCACGGUCACACCACGGCCAGGAGAGGGUGCGCCACACGUCCGUGUCCGCGCCAGCCUCAGGCGGGCAAGUUGCGGCUUUGUGUGUUUCCCUGCGGACCACCUGGUCACUGUGGCCUCUGGCGCCCACACCCUCCACUCCUCUCCAGUGACCAGAUGACCUGUCCUGGCACAUCCCACCUUCUCCCUCCCUCAGGACCCGCUUGGCAGCUCUCUGCACUCGCUGCCUCAGUUUCCC